GGCCCGGCACUUGCUUGAUCCCCCCAGCGGGUAGCCAACGGCGGCCACCUUCCGCACGACAAAGACGUCGC
This 71-nucleotide non-coding RNA is filed under the name unclassified sequences. RNAcentral's name for it is "narK RNA". It matches the Rfam family "narK RNA". The record is from RNAcentral.